This 478-nucleotide ribosomal RNA is filed under the name uncultured bacterium. Its description in RNAcentral is "partial 16S ribosomal RNA". It matches the Rfam family "Bacterial small subunit ribosomal RNA", at positions 28 to 507 of the family's 1533-position model. The record is from RNAcentral.
GAUGAACGCUGGCGGCGUGCUUAACACAUGCAAGUCGAACGAGAAAUGGAGACGGAAACCUUCGGGCGGAGUGCUUCAUUUCGAGUUGCGGACGGGGGAGUAACGCGUGGGUAACCUGCCUCAUACAGGGGGAUAACAGUUGGAAACGACUGUUAAUACCGCAUAAGACCACAGCACCGCAUGGUGCGGGGGUAAAAACUCCGGUGGUGUGAGAUGGACCCGCGUUCGAUUAGCCAGUUGGCGGGGUAACGGCCCACCAAAGCGACGAUCGAUAGCCGAUCUGAGAGGAUGACCGGAAACAGAGGGACUGAGACACGGCACAACCUCCUACGGGAGGAAGGAGUGGGGAAUAAUGCACAAUGGGGGAAAUGAUGAAGCAGCGACGCCGGGUGAGUGAAGAAGUACUUAGGUAUGUAAAGUUCUAUCAGCAGGGAAGAAAAUGACGGUACCUGAGUAAGAAGCCACGGCUAACUACGUG